This 800-nucleotide ribosomal RNA is filed under the name Escherichia coli. Its description in RNAcentral is "partial 23S ribosomal RNA". It matches the Rfam family "Bacterial large subunit ribosomal RNA", at positions 418 to 1217 of the family's 2925-position model. Lineage: Bacteria; Pseudomonadati; Pseudomonadota; Gammaproteobacteria; Enterobacterales; Enterobacteriaceae. The record is from RNAcentral.
CGGGACACGUGGUAUCCUGUCUGAAUAUGGGGGGACCAUCCUCCAAGGCUAAAUACUCCUGACUGACCGAUAGUGAACCAGUACCGUGAGGGAAAGGCGAAAAGAACCCCGGCGAGGGGAGUGAAAAAGAACCUGAAACCGUGUACGUACAAGCAGUGGGAGCACAGAGCAAUCUGUGUGACUGCGUACCUUUUGUAUAAUGGGUCAGCGACUUAUAUUCUGUAGCAAGGUUAACCGAAUAGGGGAGCCGAAGGGAAACCGAGUCUUAACUGGGCGUUAAGUUGCAGGGUAUAGACCCGAAACCCGGUGAUCUAGCCAUGGGCAGGUUGAAGGUUGGGUAACACUAACUGGAGGACCGAACCGACUAAUGUUGAAAAAUUAGCGGAUGACUUGUGGCUGGGGGUGAAAGGCCAAUCAAACCGGGAGAUAGCUGGUUCUCCCCGAAAGCUAUUUAGGUAGCGCCUCGUGAAUUCAUCUCCGGGGGUAGAGCACUGUUUCGGCAAGGGGGUCAUCCCGACUUACCAACCCGAUGCAAACUGCGAAUACCGGAGAAUGUUAUCACGGGAGACACACGGCGGGUGCUAACGUCCGUCGUGAAGAGGGAAACAACCCAGACCGCCAGCUAAGGUCCCAAAGUCAUGGUUAAGUGGGAAACGAUGUGGGAAGGCCCAGACAGCCAGGAUGUUGGCUUAGAAGCAGCCAUCAUUUAAAGAAAGCGUAAUAGCUCACUGGUCGAGUCGGCCUGCGCGGAAGAUGUAACGGGGCUAAACCAUGCACCGAAGCUGCGGCAGCGACACUGU